CUCUAAUACAAUUCCAGAUUAUAUAUUUUAAGGAAUAUAUACAGCGAAAGUAUUUAGUAUUAAAGAGAUUUACUCCUUCCUAAUUUAGGUAAAAAUGUAUCAGCAAAUUAUGUAUUAGUAUGCUAAGCAGAAUAUACAUAAUUUGU
Molecule: non-coding RNA, 146 nt
Submitted as: unclassified sequences
Source: Rfam